Molecule: non-coding RNA, 1028 nt
Organism: Peromyscus maniculatus bairdii (prairie deer mouse)
Lineage: Eukaryota; Metazoa; Chordata; Mammalia; Rodentia; Cricetidae
Source: RefSeq, a predicted model, not a curated record
AAACUGCAUACAGCUGUCUUUCUGAGCAUCAGUGCGGGAGAUGUUCCUUAGAUGCUGCCCUAGGAAUGUGCUGGACCUGAGGAAGCACCCACUGACACAGAGUGUCUGUGUCUAAGGAGUUGUUGACUAUCAGCAUUUUUAGGUGUGAGAGCUGACCUCUGGAACAUGGGAGUGCAAGAGCUGGCCCUGAUCCUCACCAGCUGCAGCGCCUUCGGGGAAGUGAGACCUUUGCCUCACCUGGCCAACACAACAGAGCCGGCCCUGGUGGUGUGGAUGUCAGUGACCCCCGAGGGUGGGAGAGUAGGAGAGCUGGCCCUGCCCCUUGCUGCCUGCUGCAUUGGGUGAGCUGGUUGGGGCAGUGCUGGAGAGCUCGCCCUGGUGGUGAGGUGGAGGAAGAGCUGGUGGGCUGACCAACCCAGCUACCAUCCAAGCCCAGAACCAGGGCUGUGAGUUGGUCCAUCCCAACAUCUACCCCAUCAAAGAAGUGCUGGAGCACAUGAAGGGGCCGAUCCUGCGGAUUCAAACCUGCAGGAACUCCAUGACACAGGACAACAACAGGAUAUCCAAGAGGAGCCCCAGCGAGGGCCAGGUGUGGACAGUGGAGCAGAAGCCAGAGGCCUUGAACCAGAGCAAUGACUCAUAGCAAGGCACACCUGCAAAAACUGUGUCUUUGGAGGAUAUCCACCGGACUGCAAGCAAAACAUCCCAAAGUGCACAUCUGCAGUAUGACCUCAGACUCCGUGGUGCCUUCUGCUCUGAGAGGCUCAAUGAAUCCUGUAGCUGAAGUCUCAGGGUCUGUUUAGGGUACAUGGAAAAUGUUCAGAUCACUGAAGUCAUGGCAGCUUCUUCUCCAGGACACUGACAUCUACUAGCAACACACAGCCAGGGAGUUUAAGUACUAGAGGAAGAGAUCAAGCUAUUAAAAAAAAUGAAUCUUUAUUUUAUUGGUACAAUAUAUUCUUCUAUUAGUAAUUAUGUAAAAAUAUCAAUAAUUGUAAAAAAUCAAGACUCAUAAUUACUAAGAAAAU